RNAcentral lists this ribosomal RNA (403 nucleotides) under uncultured bacterium. RNAcentral's name for it is "partial 16S ribosomal RNA". It matches the Rfam family "Bacterial small subunit ribosomal RNA", at positions 30 to 526 of the family's 1533-position model. The record is from RNAcentral.
AUUGAACGCUGGCGGCAGGCCUAACACAUGCAAGUCGAGCGGAGUGGGGACGGGUGAGUAACACGUGGGUAACCUCCCAUCAGAGGGGAUAACACUUGGAAACAGGUGCUAAACCGAUACUGAUGGAUGGAUCCGCGGUGCAUUAGCUAGUUGUUGAGGUAACAGAUCACCAAGGCCACGAUGCAUAGCCGACCUGAGAGGGUGAUCGGCCACACUGGGACUGAGACACGGCCCAGACUCCUACGGGAGGCAGCAGUAGGGAAUCUUCGGCAAUGGACGAAAGUCUGACCGAGAAACGCCGCGUGUGUGAAGAAUUUUAUCAGAUCGUAAAACUCUGGUGUUAGGGAAGCGGUAUCUAACCAGAAAGCCACGGCUAACUACGUGGCAGCAGCCGCAGUAAUAC